ACGAACGCUGGCGGCGUGCCUAAUACAUGCAAGUAGAACGCUGAAGGCGGAGCUUGCUUCUCUGGAUGAGUUGCGAACGGGUGAGUAACGCGUAGGUAACCUGCCUGGUAGCGGGGGAUAACUAUUGGAAACGAUAGCUAAUACCGCAUAAUAGUAGAUGUUGCAUGACAUUUGCUUAAAAGGUGCAAUUGCAUCACUACCAGAUGGACCUGCGUUGUAUUAGCUAGUUGGUGGGGUAACGGCUCACCAAGGCGACGAUACAUAGCCGACCUGAGAGGGUGAUCGGCCACACUGGGGCUGAGACACGGCCCAGACUCCUACGGGAGGCAGCAGUAGGGAAUCUUCGGCAAUGGACGGAAGUCUGACCGAGCAACGCCGCGUGAGUGAAGAAGGUUUUCGGAUCGUAAAGCUCUGUUGUAAGAGAAGAACGAGUGUGAGAGUGGAAAGUUCACACUGUGACGGUAUCUUACCAGAAAGGGACGGCUAACUACGUG
This 494-nucleotide ribosomal RNA is filed under the name uncultured bacterium. RNAcentral's name for it is "partial 16S ribosomal RNA". It matches the Rfam family "Bacterial small subunit ribosomal RNA", at positions 29 to 507 of the family's 1533-position model. The record is from RNAcentral.